RNAcentral lists this ribosomal RNA (368 nucleotides) under uncultured organism. RNAcentral describes it as "bacterial SSU rRNA". It matches the Rfam family "Bacterial small subunit ribosomal RNA", at positions 526 to 896 of the family's 1533-position model. The record is from RNAcentral.
CGGAGGGUGCAAGCGUUAUCCGGAUUCACUGGGUUUAAAGGGUGUGUAGGCGGGUAAUUAAGUCAGUGGUGAAAUCUCCGGGCUCAACCUGGAAGCUGCCAUUGAUACUAUUUAUCUUGAAUAUCGUUGAGGUUGGCGGAAUAUAUCAUGUAGCGGCGAAAUGCAUAGAUAUGAUAUAGAACACCGAUUGCGCAGGCAGCUGGCUAAACGAUGAUUGACGCUGAGGCACGAAAGCGUGGGGAUCAAACAGGAUUAGAUACCCUGGUAGUCCACGCCCUAAACGAUGAUUACUGGACGUUCGCGAUAUACAGUGAGCGUCUGAGCGAAAGCAUUAAGUAAUCCACCUGGGAAGUACGUCCGCAAGGAUG